CCUACGGGUGGCAGCAGUGAGGAAUAUUGGUCAAUGGACGAGAGUCUGAACCAGCCAAGUAGCGUGAAGGAUGACUGCCCUAUGGGUUGUAAACUUCUUUUAUAUGGGAAUAAAACGUUCCACGUGUGGGAUUUUGUAUGUACCAUAUGAAUAAGGAUCGGCUAACUCCGUGCCAGCAGCCGCGGUAAUACGGAGGAUCCGAGCGUUAUCCGGAUUUAUUGGGUUUAAAGGGAGCGUAGGCGGAUUGUUAAGUCAGUUGUGAAAGUUUGCGGCUCAACCGUAAAAUUGCAGUUGAAACUGGCAGUCUUGAGUACAGUGGAGGUAGGCGGAAUUCGUGGUGUAGCGGUGAAAUGCUUAGAUAUCACGAAGAACUCCGAUUGCGAAGGCAGUUCACUGGACUGCAACUGACACUGAGGCUCGAAAGUGUGGGUAUCAAACAGGAUUAGAUACCCUUGUAGUC
RNAcentral lists this ribosomal RNA (460 nucleotides) under uncultured bacterium. Its description in RNAcentral is "partial 16S ribosomal RNA". It matches the Rfam family "Bacterial small subunit ribosomal RNA", at positions 338 to 795 of the family's 1533-position model. The record is from RNAcentral.